UUUGGCGGAUUCGGUAUACUUUGUUGGUUUUUCGUAAAAAACUUAUAAAAGCUCUCAUACAUACCUAGGUACACAAUGUCCGUGCAUACGUUUCGGCAUCUGCUCGAGUUCGGCGAUAGUUCAAUAAAAUAUUAAUAUAAUAUUUACGGCAUAAAAUAUUUUGAAAGGUGAGACAUUAGCAAGCGGACUCAAAUAUUAAUUUAUUCUCCGGGAGUUUGGGACAUGGGUCUUGCAGUAGGGGACGUUGUGGACGCGGGUCAGCCGGCGCCGGCUGCGGUCCUCCGAUCAGGGACUUUCGUGCAUCUGUAGCUCUUGCUCCAUCACGUUGUUGUUUUGCUCCUCACGGGUCAGCACGAAAACUGGCUCGACGUUGUCAUCGAGGCUGUUGAACCUGACAAGAAAUAUAAUGUUUUAAACGAACAUCACAUUUACCUAUGCUAUAAUAUUUUCUAAAAAUCUAUGUGUCUGUAAAGAUCUGAUUUCUGUAUUGCAAAGCAAAAGGCGAAACUUUUUUCGAUAUGUACCUAAAUAUGAUAAUAUAUUCACAUACAGAUAACA
This is a long non-coding RNA of Plodia interpunctella (Indianmeal moth), 558 nucleotides long. RefSeq lists it as uncharacterized. Lineage: Eukaryota; Metazoa; Arthropoda; Insecta; Lepidoptera; Pyralidae. The transcript is spliced from 2 exons. The record is from RefSeq and is a predicted model, not a curated record.